Molecule: ribosomal RNA, 492 nt
Filed under: uncultured bacterium
Lineage: Bacteria
Description: partial 16S ribosomal RNA
Rfam family: Bacterial small subunit ribosomal RNA
Source: RNAcentral
AGUGAACGCUGGCGGUAGGCCUAACACAUGCAAGUCGAACGGCAGCACAGUAAGAGCUUGCUCUUACGGGUGGCGAGUGGCGGACGGGUGAGGAAUACAUAGGAAUCUACUUUUUCGUGGGGGAUAACGGAGGGAAACUUACGCUAAUACCGCAUACGACCUACGGGUGAAAUCAGGGGAGCUUCGGACCUUGCGCGAUUGAAUGAGCCGAUGUCGGAUUAGCUAGUUGGCGGGGUAAAGGCCCACCAAGGCGACGAUCCGUAGCUGGGCUGAGAGGAUGAUCAGCCACACUGGAACUGAGACACGGUCCAGACUCCUACGGGAGGCAGCAGUGGGGAAUAUUGGGCAAUGGGCGCAAGCCUGAUCCAGCCAUACCGCGUGGGUGAAGAAGGCCUUCGGGUUGUAAAGCCCUUUUGUUGGGAAAGAAAAGCAGCAGGUUAAUACCCCGCUGUUCUGACGGUACCCAAAGAAUAAGCACCGGCUAACUUCGUG